Molecule: non-coding RNA, 2112 nt
Organism: Coturnix japonica (Japanese quail)
Lineage: Eukaryota; Metazoa; Chordata; Aves; Galliformes; Phasianidae
Source: RefSeq, a predicted model, not a curated record
UCUGCGGGGCGGGACGGACACGGUCACGGCACGGCACGGCCCGGCGGGGCGCAGACCUACCCGGUGCGGUACAGCCCGGCCCGGCUCUGCCCUCUGGGGCGCAGUCCGCAGCCCCUCCGCCACCCCGCCCGGCACAGCCCGCCGCCGCCCGCCUCGCCUUUCAUUCUUUUAACGACUUUUAGCGAUUAGCCCCGUGAUUUCUGUUCCCCGCGGGACUCCGCACCCGGAGCGUUCCCCCUGAAGGGGCUCCGCAGCCGUUCGCCGUUCCCGUCCCGGCCGUGCCCCGGGGCUGCCGCUGUCACUCACCGCGCGGCCAUCCCCGCCUCCCUCAUUAGGAAGGUCCCCUCUGCGAGCUGCCCUUCCCGUUUUCUCCGUGGGCUCAGCGACACCGCGUCAACGGAACGCAACGAUUUGUCCCGUGCUCUCUGCGUCCGCCCAUCCCCGGCGGAUCAGACGCGCCGUGCGCUGCUUUUACUUCGUUUCCCCACAAAAAGAGACCCGUUUGUCCCACUCUCGGGUAGCAGGUGGCAAGGAGCGGGGCCGGCGCGGAGCUGUAGGAUCACAUUCCCUGCUGGAGCUCCCCUCAAGCUGGCUUUAACCCAACAGCGUCCCGCCAGCAGCCCCUUGGGGUCCCUCCCUGCAAUGCCGGGGUGCCCGGCAGGCCGCCACCUGUUGUGCCCGGGGGCCCUCGGUGCCGUAAGGGCUGAGUCCCACGCAGCCAUGGGACGAAGCCCCAGGGCCAGAUCCACGCUCAGUGCCGAGAGCUGUGGGCACCGCGCGGGCUGAAAUGACGGAGUUUGUGAAACUCUCGUUGGAAGAGAAAUGCUUUCAGUUCUUCACUGACUUCGCGUUGUCUUUUCCCCCCCCUCCACUGCUCGCAGGGCAAUAAUUACUAGGGGCAAACAAGCUGCCAGUUCCCAUAGAAAUGCUUUAAUGCAAGUGGGCAAAAGUUCUUGAGGGAAAACCCGCAGCCCCGGCGCCGCAAUAACGAAGCUGGGCACUUUGAUGGAAAUUAACGGGAGUUUUGUAAGGAGCGCGUUGGGGGAUGGCAGGCAGCCCUUAUCUGCGGUUCCAGUCAACUAGCAAUCCUGAAAGAGUUUGCAUCAUCAUCAGAGCAGCCCGUUUGAUAGGAUUCUGUGCUGCGCCUAAUCAAUCUAUGGGAUACCGGGCUGUGCGGUGUAACAAAGCUAAAAUAGAUUUACAAAUGGGGUUUUAGAGGAUAAGCUCCUCCACAGGAUUACAUAUUGAUUUUAAAUAUAAAAAGCUUAUCAUAUAAACCAUAACUACAAAAAUAGUGAACCUAUGCAUAAAUCCUUUUAGAAGAGCACCCACUUCAAACUGGAAGCCAGAAAUAAAUCAAGAUGUACAAAACCCUAAAGAAGAUCCAUUUCUUGGGCAGAAAACGAACACCCCCCUCCCAAGAUGUGCAAAAACAAACUUAUCUCUCCCAAGGAGGCAUUAAAUCUUGAAUUAAGAAAGGAAAAGAAAGAAGGGAAAGGGGUGGAGGCGGCGCUGGGGCCGCGCGGUGCAGGAGGAUGGCCCCACGUCCCCAGCCCCGUGCGGGCAGCAGCGUGUUGCCGAGCUGCCGGACAGCAGCGAGCUGCUCUCUGCCUCCCUGCCCAUCUCUGCAGCUCAAGGAGGUGGAUAAAAAGUCCGGCUUUUGUUUGGCGCUCUCCUGUUUCAUAGCAGCGCUGCAGCCGCUCGCGCACCCCGCAGCCCCGUCCCGCAGCCGGCUCUGCCUGCAGCCUUCCCCGCCAUAAGCAGCGGGGUGAACUGCCUGGGGGACACAUCACCAGCACAGCCACCCGUGGAAGUUACAGCGAUUCGUCCCGGCAGCGUAUUGCCAUCUCUCAAGAAGUUCUUUUAUCUUUUACGUUCCAACCCGGGUUGGUGUUCUGCCUCACAAUCCCCUCUUUGAGCCGCGCGGUUCGGUUGGCCGCAGGCUGCGUUUUGUUUUCUCUCUGGCAUUUUGCUGUGGUUUUGUUAGGAGCGCUUUUCCUCCUGUAGGCUUGGAGCAGAGCGCUGCCGAAACUUCUGAUGGGAUAACCAUUUCUUUUAUGGUGCAAAAUGCACUGCACAGACUUCGUUGUAUGAAUAAAAAGAAUACCCAAA